AUUGAACGCUGGCGGCAGGCCUAACACAUGCAAGUCGAACGAGUGGCGGACGGGUGAGUAAUGUCUGGGAAACUGCCCGAUGGAGGGGGAUAACUACUGGAAACGGUAGCUAUUACCGCAUACCAUCGGAUGUGCCCAGAUGGGAUUAGCUAGUAGGUGGGGUAACGGCUCCCCUAGGCGACGAUCCCUAGCUGGUCUGAGAGGAUGAACAGCCACACUGGAACUGAGACACGGGCCAGACUCCUACGGGAGGCAGCAGUGGGGAAUAUUGCAGAAUGGGCGCAAGCCGGAUGCAGCCAGGCAGCGUGUAUGAAGAAGGCCUUCGGGUUGUAAAGUACUGUCAGCGAGGAGGCGUUACUCGCAGAAGAAGCACCGGCUAACUCCGUGCCAGCAGCCGCGGUAAUAC
Molecule: ribosomal RNA, 406 nt
Filed under: uncultured bacterium
Lineage: Bacteria
Description: partial 16S ribosomal RNA
Rfam family: Bacterial small subunit ribosomal RNA
Source: RNAcentral